This 931-nucleotide long non-coding RNA is filed under the name Pan troglodytes (chimpanzee). RNAcentral describes it as "long non-coding RNA NONPTRT006939". Lineage: Eukaryota; Metazoa; Chordata; Mammalia; Primates; Hominidae. The record is from RNAcentral.
UGAAUGAAUAUGCAACUGUGAAACAGGCCAACAACUUCGUCUUUCCCUGCCGAGGUUUGGAACAGGAAAGCCAAAGCCCCACUCACGGGUUCCAUCCCAGGUCGGCUGGGUUGAUGUAGAGGAUGCCGGCUCUGGAGACGGUGGCUGGGGUGGCCGUCCUCAGGUGGCUGAUUUCGAACACCAGCCUCAUGGUGCGGUUCAGGGGGAUCCGCUCGUUGCUGGCCAGGGCCUUUACCCUGAACCCAUCCUGCUAAAACGUAAGGUGAGGCGCAUGCAAAACCACAACGCAUGUGACAAAGUUUCACGACAAGGUGCCCCUCACUCAUAGCUUCCUGUGGAGUUCCAGACACGCCGCCUGCACCAAGCCUGGCGUGCAGGGCCUGAGUGCCCCGUAGGCGCCUCCCUGUGAGCCCCCGUCAUCCCUGCCUUGGGUGGCCUUGGGGCUUAGAGUCCAGGGCCCGCGAACCUUGUUGUCAUCCAUGACUGUGUUGAGAGACUCGAUCCACAUGGGGUCUAUGUCUCCAUCAAGGAUGAUCCACUUGGGGCCGUCAUGGGUGAUGUUGGCCAGGUCUCGCAUGAUGGUGGAGAACAGGCCUGGGGGAGGCGCGUGGUAUAACCCCGGGCCCUUCACUCCGGCCCCAUUCCAGUCCCCACCAGUCCUGACCCUGGCCUCUCUCUCUGGGAGGGAGCCUGUCCCCUACUUCAGAGGAACAGCAGAGGCCCUCGGGUAUGAGGUGCCCAGGCUCCCUGCCCUCUGUUCUCUGUGGCCUCCCUCCUACGUGCCCUCUCCAUGCCUGAGGCCCUGCCUGUCCUCCUCCGACCCUGCACCCUCCCUGUCAGCCCCUCUUUGUGGCCCUGGCUGGCUCAGUUUUUCCAGGCUCAACAUCCCACGGGGUGCAGCACCUGUGCACCCAGCCCUGAACAUCUGUCC